This 253-nucleotide ribosomal RNA is filed under the name uncultured bacterium. RNAcentral describes it as "partial 16S ribosomal RNA". It matches the Rfam family "Bacterial small subunit ribosomal RNA", at positions 524 to 776 of the family's 1533-position model. The record is from RNAcentral.
GACGAACCGUCCAAACGUUAUUCGGAAUCACUGGGCUUACAGAGUUCGUAGGCGGUCUGGAAAGUUGGGUGUGAAAUCCCUCGGCUCAACCGAGGAACUGCGCUCAAAAUUACCCGACUCGAGGGAGAUAGAGGAAAGCGGAACUGAUGGUGGAGCGGUGAAAUGCGUUGAUAUCAUCAGGAACACCGGUGGCGAAGGCGGCUUUCUGGGUCUUACCUGACGCUGAGGAACGAAAGCUAGGGGAGCGAACGGG